This 69-nucleotide transfer RNA is filed under the name Camelus dromedarius (Arabian camel). It matches the Rfam family "tRNA". Rfam says of the family: Transfer RNA (tRNA) molecules are approximately 80 nucleotides in length. Their secondary structure includes four short double-helical elements and three loops (D, anti-codon, and T loops). Lineage: Eukaryota; Metazoa; Chordata; Mammalia; Artiodactyla; Camelidae. RNAcentral also lists the same sequence under 1 other name. The record is from Rfam by way of RNAcentral.
GGUAAUAGCUUAGUGGUAGAGCGCAUGCUUAGCAUGAUGAGGUCCUGGGUUCAAUCCCCAGCACUUCCA